This 491-nucleotide ribosomal RNA is filed under the name uncultured bacterium. RNAcentral describes it as "partial 16S ribosomal RNA". It matches the Rfam family "Bacterial small subunit ribosomal RNA", at positions 29 to 506 of the family's 1533-position model. The record is from RNAcentral.
AGUGAACGCUGGCGGUAGGCCUAACACAUGCAAGUCGAACGGCAGCACAGUAAGAGCUUGCUCUUACGGGUGGCGAGUGGCGGACGGGUGAGGAAUACAUCGGAAUCUACUUUUUCGUGGGGGAUAACGUAGGGAAACUUACGCUAAUACCGCAUACGACCUACGGGUGAAAGCAGGGGAUCUUCGGACCUUGCGCGAUUGAAUGAGCCGAUGUCGGAUUAGCUAGUUGGCGGGGUGAAGGCCCACCAAGGCGACGAUCCGUAGCUGGUCUGAGAGGAUGAUCAGCCACACUGGAACUGAGACACGGUCCAGACUCCUACGGGAGGCAGAAGUGGGGAAUAUUGGACAAUGGGCGCAAGCCUGAUCCAGCCAUACCGCGUGGGUGAAGAAGGCCUUCGGGUUGUAAAGCCCUUUUGUUGGGAAAGAAAAGCAGCAGGUUAAUACCCCGCUGUUCUGACGGUACCCAAAGAAUAAGCACCGGCUAACUUCGU